This 253-nucleotide ribosomal RNA is filed under the name uncultured bacterium. RNAcentral describes it as "partial 16S ribosomal RNA". It matches the Rfam family "Bacterial small subunit ribosomal RNA", at positions 524 to 776 of the family's 1533-position model. The record is from RNAcentral.
UACGUAGGGUCCGAGCGUUGUCCGGAAUUAUUGGGCGUAAAGGGCUCGUAGGCGGUUUGUCGCGUCGGGUGUGAAAUCACCGGGCUUAACUCGGUGCUUGCUUUCGAUACGGGCAGACUAGAGGUAUGCAGGGGAGAAUGGAAUUCCUGGUGUAGCGGUGAAAUGCGCAGAUAUCAGGAGGAACACCGGUGGCGAAGGCGGUUCUCUGGGCAUUACCUGACGCUGAGGAGCGAAAGCGUGGGGAGCGAACAGG